RNAcentral lists this ribosomal RNA (492 nucleotides) under uncultured bacterium. RNAcentral describes it as "partial 16S ribosomal RNA". It matches the Rfam family "Bacterial small subunit ribosomal RNA", at positions 29 to 507 of the family's 1533-position model. The record is from RNAcentral.
AUUGAACGCUGGCGGCAUGCUUUACACAUGCAAGUCGAACGGUAACAGGCCUUCGGGUGCUGACGAGUGGCGAACGGGUGAGUAAUGCAUCGGAACGUACCCAGAGGUGGGGGAUAACGCAGCGAAAGCUGUGCUAAUACCGCAUGUGAUCUGAGGAUGAAAGCGGGGGACCGCGCAGCAAUGUUUGGCCUCGCGCCUUUGGAGCGGCCGAUGUCGGAUUAGCUAGUUGGUGGGGUAAAGGCCUACCAAGGCGACGAUCCGUAGCUGGUCUGAGAGGAAGACAAGCCACGUGGGGACUGCGACACGGCCCAGACUCCUACGGGAGGCAGCAGUGGGGAAUUUUGGACAAUGGGCGCAAGCCUGAUCCAGCAAUGCCGCGUGCGGGAAGAAGGCCUUCGGGUUGUAAACCGCUUUUGGCAGGAACGAAACGGUGUCCGCUAAUACCGGGCGCUAAUGACGGUACCUGCAGAAUAAGCACCGGCUAACUACGUG